This 243-nucleotide ribosomal RNA is filed under the name uncultured bacterium. Its description in RNAcentral is "partial 16S ribosomal RNA". It matches the Rfam family "Bacterial small subunit ribosomal RNA", at positions 111 to 354 of the family's 1533-position model. The record is from RNAcentral.
UAACGCGUGAGGAACCUGCCUUCCAGAGGGGGACAACAGUUGGAAACGACUGCUAAUACCGCAUGAUGCAUUUGAAUCGCAUGGUUUGAAUGUCAAAGAUUUAUCGCUGGAAGAUGGCCUCGCGUCUGAUUAGCUAGUUGGUGAGGUAACGGCCCACCAAGGCGACGAUCAGUAGCCGGACUGAGAGGUUGGCCGGCCACAUUGGGACUGAGAUACGGCCCAGACUCCUACGGAAGGCAGCAG